Culex pipiens (northern house mosquito) is the source of this 73-nucleotide non-coding RNA. Lineage: Eukaryota; Metazoa; Arthropoda; Insecta; Diptera; Culicidae. The record is from Rfam.
GGCUCCGUGGCUUAAUGGUUACGGCUUCUGCCUCACAAGCAGAAGGUUCAGGGAUCAAAUCCCGGUCGGUACA